CCUACGGGUGGCAGCAGUAGGGAAUCUUUCACAAUGGGCGAAAGCCUGAUGGAGCAACGCCGCGUGCAGGAUGAAGGCCUUCGGGUUGGAAACUGCUUUUAUAAGCGAGAAAUAUGAUGGUAACUGAUGAAUAAGGAUCGGCUAACUACGGGCCAGCAGCCGCGGUCAUACGUAGGAUCCGAGCAUUAUCCGGAGUGUGUGGGGGUAAAGGGCGUGUAGGCGGGCAAGCAAGUCAGAUGUGAAAACCAUGGGGUCAACCUGUGGCCUGCAUUUGAAACUGGUUUUCUUGAGUACUGGAGAGGCAGACGGAAUUCCUAGUGUAGCGGUGAAAUGCGUAGAUAUUAGGAGGAACACCAGUGGCGAAGGCGGUCUGCUGGCCAGCAACUGACGCUGAGGCGCGAAAGCGUGGGGAGCAAACAGGAUUAGAUACCCUGGUAGUC
Molecule: ribosomal RNA, 440 nt
Filed under: uncultured bacterium
Lineage: Bacteria
Description: partial 16S ribosomal RNA
Rfam family: Bacterial small subunit ribosomal RNA
Source: RNAcentral